CAAUAGCGUAUAUUAAAGUUGUUGCAGUUAAAAAGCUCGUAGUUGGAUUUGUGGCGUACGGUGUGUUCCGGGCACUUGUUGUCUGAGUAACCUGCUGUUGCCAUCCUUGGGUGGAACCUGUGUGGCAUUAGGUUGUCGGGCAGGGGAUGCCCAUCAUUUACUGUGAAAAAAUUAGAGUGUUCAAAGCAGGCUUAUGCCGUUGAAUAUAUUAGCAUGGAAUAAUGAGAUAGGACUUUUUUGCUAUUUUGUUGGUUUGCGCAAAGAGGUAAUGAUUAAUAGGGACAGUUGGGGGUAUUCGUAUUCCAUUGUCAGAGGUGAAAUUCUUGGAUUUUUGGAAGACGAACUACUGCGAAAGCAUUUACCAAGGAUGUUUUCAUUAA
RNAcentral lists this ribosomal RNA (380 nucleotides) under uncultured eukaryote. Its description in RNAcentral is "partial 18S ribosomal RNA". It matches the Rfam family "Eukaryotic small subunit ribosomal RNA", at positions 592 to 976 of the family's 1831-position model. The record is from RNAcentral.